This 9210-nucleotide long non-coding RNA is filed under the name Coffea arabica (coffee). RNAcentral describes it as "long non-coding RNA (CARA_LNC002997)". The record is from RNAcentral. Lineage: Eukaryota; Viridiplantae; Streptophyta; Magnoliopsida; Gentianales; Rubiaceae.
UACGGGGGACUAAAAUUCGUGACACAAUUUUCCUUCUUAUAGAGGGGAUAUGAGCGUGCUAAAAUUAAGAGGUCAUACUCGUUUAUUUCCUAUAUUUGAAGGGUGACUCUUAUUACAUACACCAGCAAAUGGACUAACCUACUUCUAAUUUUCUAAAAUGAGAUGCAAUUCUAAAUGAUAUGGUUCAAACACAUAGAGGGUAAGGAAAUAAUAGUAGGGAAAAUAUCAUACAAAUAAAAAUGAUCUAAAAAUAAAAAAAAUGCAUGAAAUGCAAUAAAUGUCACGUGAAAGUAUGAAUUUAGCGCGAAAAUUGCUUAAAGGGUCUAACAUUGUACUAAUCCAUUUUUAUAGGUUCUCACUAGCAUUGGACUAGUGAGAAAACGAAAAAAAGGCCACAACUAGCGUUGGAUUAGUGUGGUGAUGUCAUGCAUUUAUUAUAACUAAGUAAAUCAUAUAAAACAUAAUUAAAACAAGCAAACACAUAAAACACAUAGAGCACAUAACACAGUUUUAGAUACAAAAACUCUAAAGAAAGCGAAUAAACACAUAAGCAUACAAGUAAAGAGAUGCACAUAAAAACCUAACUAUUACAUUUGGGGGUCUAACUACAAUCUAAGGGGGGAAUUUGAAAAAAUAAUAACCUAACUAUUAUAUUUAUCUAACUAAUUACAUUUUGGCAAAACUAAAAUCUAUCUAUUACAUAGCCCAACUAAAUACGUCUUGAGCAUCUAUCUAUUACAAAUUGGCAUUUAAAUAUCUCUCAAAUAAUCAUCAAAAUUAAAUAAAAUAAAUGAAAUUUAAAAUGAGUAAUUAAAGAAAAAGCACUCCAAAUAUGCAAUUACACAAAAAAAUACAUAGGAGCACAUAAGAGGAUUAAAAAUAAUGAAAGAAGGUACCUUUCUUGAAGUAAUGGUUAAAUGGGAUAGAAUUUGCCCUAUUUAUACUUCAAAAUCAGCAAAAUGGUCAAGGCACCAAUUUAAUUAAUAAAUAAAUUAUAAAGAAGUUGCAAUAACCAUGAAAUCUACCAAUUGAAACAUUUAAAUGAAGUAUAAUUAACAAUUAAAAAAGAUAAAAAACUUAUAUUUAAGAAAUCAAAAUUGUUAGGGACCUAAUUGCAAAAAUUAAGAACUUUUUUGAGUCAAAUUAUCAAUUAUUACAAAAUUUAGGGGUAAAAAAUAAAAAAUAAAGUUUAGGGACCAAAAUGUAAUUAGAAUAGGGACCUAAUUGAAAGAAAUUCAAAAUUUUUAGGACUAUAGUAAAAAUACUCAAAAGUUCAGGGACUGAAAUGCAAGUUUUGUAUCAGAUUUUUGCAAGAUAAAAGCCAUUUGGGCCAUUUUAUUAUUGCCUUGGGCCAAAACCAUCCUGGCCUAAUGAAAAGGCCUAAGAAGAAAAGUGGGCUGGCCUGCCUUUCUACCAAACAAAAAACCAACCAAAAGGUUGGGCUUUACUCUCUUAAACCCAAUGCCAAACCCAAAAAAAGAAAUGAAACACUAACCCAACUAAAAUAUGCUUUAACCCAAAACCUAAUCCAACAAGAUAUUAAAUCAAUAAAAAAUUAGAGUUCUAUUCAUGCCCUAAAAUCCAGAAAUCAAAUGCUUAAAAACAUACUUGAAACAUGAAAAAGCGGAAUAAAAAUCAAAAGGGCUGAAAUUGAUUCAUAUUUUCCAGAUUUUGGGUCGCAGUAGAAUCAUGUGAAAAUUAAGGGGUAAAUUGUAAAUUUUUCACAUUAUCAUGCAAAGCUUCGAAGCCUUUCUGCAAUUUCUUUUCUUAUUUCAUCAGAACGCAACAUACCACCAAUAAUCAUAAAAAAUUUGGACCAAAACAAGAUUAUGCAAACAUGGCAGAAAUCUCAAACCAACAGUUCACAAAAGACAUAGCAGAAGGAAAGACAAGGCUAAGAACAAAAUGAGGCAAAUCUGUUGCAGAUUCAAGCUUAUAAGGAGGGAGAAGGAUGAACAGACUACCUUUGAUAUUUGAAGACACCAAAUCAACGUGGGGGAUCCAAGAAAAAUUAGCUUCAAGGCUGGAAUCGAAUAGCUAGAGUUUUGUUGCAGAAUGUUCACGGGUUGAUGAAGCAGCAGAUUCGAGCUCGAAUUUCACGUACUUGGGGGAUUUUUUCUGGAAGUUUUUUGAACAGAAGUUGCACUUCUAUAAACAUAGAUAGUGCAGAUUUGGAAAAAACGCUGAGGCGAUUGAGAUUGAGGUUCGAUUUUGCUUAAGAAGGAGGCUGGAUGUUCAACCCCGGCUCAAGGUUUUCACCAAAAUUUUUCUGCAUUUUUUUUCUCCUUUUCUCUCUCUUUUUUCUCCUUUUUUUAUUUGCCGCCCUCCCUUUCUCACCUUAAUGGUGUCUCUUUUGCCCUUUUUAUAUGAAGUAAGAUUCCCACAACCUUACAUUCAAAGGUGUGGAUGAAGGUUGUUUUUUUGUGGCUCAACUUGAGCCAUUCGAUCCUCCCUCUUCCAGAAUUUUCUUGAUGAUUCUGGUUGAGGUGAGGUGGCAAAGGUUUGGGAAAAAAGAAUAGAAAAAAAACUGAGUGGGAUGGGAUGCAAAUUUGUUGCUGCAAUUUUCCUGUAUUGAUCUCCGCUUCUUGGCUUGUACGAAGGCGAUAAAGGAUAGCGCGCGUGCGAUAGAAGAAUUUUAUUUUAUUUUUUUUACAAAAUCUGAUUUUAAUUGAUUUUUUCUUUUCUUUUUUGUCUUUCUUUUUCUUUUUCUUUCUGAUCUUUCUGCAAAAUAAUUAAAUGCAAAUCAAAAUAAUAAAAAUAGAAAGAGAGAUAAAUAAAUAAAUAAACAAACAGACAAAUAAAUGUAAAUAAAUAAAAAUAGAUACAAAGAAAUAAUAAAAAUGGUUUAAGGAAUUUUGGGAAAAAAAAAGAAAAAAAACUGAGUGGAAUGGGAUGCAAAUUUGUUGCUGCAAUUUUCCUGUACUGAGCUCCGCUUCCUAGCUCGUACGAAGGCGAUGAAGGAUAGCGUGCGUGCGACGUGAAGAAAAUUUUUUUUUUUUUACAAAAUCUAUUUUUAAUUGAUUUUUUUCUUUUCUUUCUGAUUUUUCUGCAAAAUAAUUAAAUGCAAAUCAAAAUGAUAAAAAUAGAAAGAGAGAUAAAUAAAUAAACAAAAAAACAAAUAAACUUAAAUAAAUAAAAAUAGAUACAAACAAAUAAUAGAAACAGUUUAUAAAAUUUUUGAUGUCUAUGGAAAUUUCUUUUAUUCACAUUUGAGGCCUUUCAAAUCUAAACUACAACAAAAAAAUAGGUUCUCUUCAGCUGUGUUGAGAACUGAGGAAUGAGAACGAGGAAGAAGAGUUGGAUUCUUUAUUGGAUGAGCUGAAUGUUGGCUAGAAGUAGCAGUAUUUAUAGUAGUGAACUAAUGGGAAGAGGGAGAUGAUGGUAACUUGGGAAAUGAGGUGGUUAUGAUAGUAAGGGGUUAAGAUUUAAUGGAAGAUGAUUUAACGGCCGUUAUUUGCACAUGUAAGCAUUUUUUUUGAAAUGGUCAUCACCUUUUGACUGUUUUUCCUUACCAAACUCCCAAACUCCAAAAGAGUUCCAUUCUCUGUACGGCUCUUCGUUCCAUAACAUUUCUUCUGCACUAUAGGAACACACCAUAAUUUCCACUUUUUUCUUUUUUUUUGUCCUUUGAGUGGAUUUGAUAUUUAUUGCAGUGAUCCUAAUAUGGUCUCUUGCCAAUCCAAUCACGUUGAUACCAAAAUAUACACGUUUCCUAAUUUAGAAAUUUAUUUUCCUAUAUGAAAAUCAAGAUUAAGGCUUUUGAAGGAUUAUAAUGUAUUUGGCAUGUAUGGCCCUAUGGUUUUAAUUAGAAAUUUAUUUUCCUAUAUGAGAAUCAAGAUUAAGGCUUUUGAAGGAUUAUAAUGUAUUUGGCAUGUAUGGCCCUAUGGUUUUAAUUAUUUACCAAAAUUUCCCUAUUUGCCAUAUUUGUUUACAACGGUUUAGGUUAUACAAUAUGAAUUCAAUUAUUUUAUAUAAUUAGGUUAUGGAAUACAAAGCGUUAAUUAGAUAUCUAUGCACGAGUUCUCUUAGAAAUAUAUAGGCCAAAAUAGUGUAUAUAAUAUUUGUCGUUACCAAAGAUUUAGGUUAAGAAAUACGAAUUGAAUCGCUUUACAAAUUAGGUUAUGGAAUACAAAGCAUCAAAAAAAUUCAUGCUCGAGCUCUAUUUGCAUAUAACAGUUAAAAAUAACAUGUAUAGUGAUUUGUCAUAUUUGUUUCUUGCACUAAAAUAAUUGAUCAAAAAAAUCAAAAAAUUGAUGAUAGUUAUUCCAUCAUUAAAUAAAGUAAAAUACCAAAAUCAAACUUUAUUUGACAAAUUGGUUUUAUAAGAGAAUCUAAAAUUCUAUCGUAUACUGUUCACAUAAUAAUUAAUUAUUUCAUGAGUUAAUUGAAAAGAAAUAAUGAUAAUAAUAAUCAUGAAUAUCAAUUAUUAUGCAGUUAGCGAUCGUAAAACUAUUUGUGCAAAAAGAAUUCUACUUAUUUAUGUACCUCUAUGUUUGCAGCAUUUCUCUUGCACUAUAAUAACAAACUAUUUUUCCAGAUUUUCAAUUUAAAUGAUUUAUUUAUUUAAAUUUCCUUAUUUAGUUUUCAAUUUCCUCUUGAUGAGAAUUACCUUUCGAAUUUGGUAGGGCAAUGAUUCAUUAACGAAUGCUCUCAUGGUUUUAAUUGUAUAUAAUAGUUCUCGAUCUAGUAAUUCAUUUACAAAAAUUAAUGUUGUGGAGUACGACUUGUGUUGUCUUUUAACUUAGGAUUUUCUAGUACCCAGUGUCAAAAAACCAUGCUUGAACUCUAUUUGAUUUAUAACUAUUACAAUAGCAUACAUAAUAUUUGUCUCAGUAUAUCUUUUAUUUUUUUUAUGAGGGAAUGACUUUAAAAUAGUAAUUGACAAUCAGGAGUCCAUCCAGAAAAUGUAAACCACCAAAAUCAAACAAAAUAUCUAAUGAACUACGUUUAUAAGAGCAUCUAAUAAUUUUUUUGUCAGAUCUCAUAGCAAUCUUUUGGUUUAGAAGUUACUUAAAGAAGAUAAUAACAACUCUCGAAGAAAUAUUAGGGAGAAAAAACAACUCUGACCUCAGUACCAUGUUUCUUUCUGCUUCCUGCUAGGGUUUGGGUUUAGUUAUGGCAGUCCACUUCUCCUACCUUCUCGAAGAAAUCCUUUUCUGAGCUUUUCUCUACUUCUGUCUCGGACCAGCCUUUGUUUAAAGUCAAGGCCAUGAGGUCUUCACAUCGAGGCGAGCCGUCUAUCACAUUUGCACAGACUGAUCUUGAAGUGUUGCUUGCCCUAUUUACGUUUGCUUUGGUUGGAAAGUUUUCGAAGGGAAGGCCUAUCAUGGACGUUAUACAGAAGUUUUUCCUCUCGUUGGAUCUCAAGGAAACAGUUUCGGUGGGCUUGUUAGAUUCGAGACAUGUGCUAAUUCGAUUAGGGAACGAGGUGGACUUUCAUAGGAUUUGGUCUAGGGGCAUCUGGUACAUCCAUGGAGUGCCGAUGAGAGUGUUUAAAUGGUCUCCUGCAUUUCAUGUGGAUCGUGAGCCUUCUGUUGUUCCGGUAUGGUUCCAAUUGCCGAAAUUGCCGAUUCAUUACUUUGACAAGGAGUGCCUCUUCCAAAUUGUGAGUUGCUUGGCUAAACCGCUGUUUGUGGAUUCUGCUAGAGCUUCUGGUGUUCGUCCUAGUGAAGCUAGGGUUUGUGUAGAGAUUGACUUGCUCCAAACUCUUCCUGUGAGGAUAUGGAUUGGUAAUGGGGAGCACGGAGGUUUCUGGCAGCAGCUUAUUCUAGAGAGUCUUCCUAAGUAUUGCAGCCACUGUUUCAAGCAAGGGCAUGACAAGGAUAGGUGUCAUGUGCUCCAUCCAGCACUGAGGGUGGAAUGGGUGGAGAAGAAAGCUAAUCUAGCAGGAAAUCAUCCAAAAGGCUCUUUGGCUAUUGCGGGAGCUAUGUCGGUGCCAACUGAGAUAGGAAAAGAAAAUUUCUGUGUUGAUCAGGAGGGAUCGAUAAAGAACACUACAAGGGUUGACUCGUAUCCUUUGGGGAACAUAAGAACAGACUCUAGUGGUCUCUCUGCAGAGAACUUGCGGCAUCAGAAGAUCAUGUCUGUCAGUCCUUUGAGGGAGGGAGAUAUUGCAGUAGCCCAGCGUUCUGGUAUUCCAACGGAUGGGUCGCCUUCACCACAAGAGGUGGUUCUAGAGAAAUUGCAGCAGCGGAAUUCUGCUUCUUCCAGCUAUUCAGAGGAGAUAAUGGCUGCAGUAGCUCGUGUCACUACAAGAAAAUUGGUCAUCAGUGACAACUUUUCUCUGUGACGAAAAAAAGUUGUCACAAAAGUGGAUCUUUUAUUGACGACUUUCUAACUCGUCACAAACCUCUAAUGGGAGCCAACUCAUUUGCGACGACUUUUCUAAGUCGUCACUAGUAAAUUCCCGCCAAGAUUUAGCAAGAGCGCGGGAGUGUUUAGAACACACAAUAGUGACGACAUUAAGAACAUCAUCACUAUUGCUUGGCCUAUUUACGGACGACUUUUUGUUGUCGUCACUGAUCACUAAAAAAAAAAGUUAUUAGUGACAACAUUUUGUAGUGAUGACAAUAGGUCGUCACAAAAGGAGCUUCUUUAGUCGCGACACCUAAAGUUGUCACAAUUGCAUCAAAGUAACUAAAUGUUUAGUGACGACCCGUUAUUUUCGUCACAAACUACACUGCAAGAAAUAUGGUCAUUAGUGACAACAUUUUUUAGUGACGACAAAAGUCGUCACAAAACGUGAUUGUUUAGUGACGACAAGGAAAGUUGUCAUAAUUGCUCAAAGCAACUAAGUCUUCAGUGACGACCUUGAAAAAGUUGUCACUAAAAUGCUCUAUAUAGUGACAACUUCUAAUAUCGUCACUGUCACUCUACCGAUUCGGAUUUAGUGACAAGAAUUGAUCGUCACUGUUUAAAGUACUUAUUUCUAAGUCACUUUCAUUAAUUCUACUGUGCCACCCUAACUUUUGCGAUUUAGCCCCAAAUGUUGUAAAAAAUUCCAUUAAUUCCAUUAUGAUACCUUAACUUUUACAAUUUAGCCCCAUAUGUAGUACACCGAUUUCUUUAAUUCUAUUAUUACUCCCUAAUUUUUGUAAUUUAGCCCCAUAUGUAAUUCACCAAUUUCAUUAAUUCUACUAUGGCACUCUAACUUUUACAAUUUAACCCCCAUAUGUAAUACACCAAUUUUAUUAUUUCUAUUAUGGCACCCUAACUUUUACAAUUUAGCCCCUAUUUUUUUAUUAGGAAAUUAUGAAUGGUAUCUUGAUAAACUAUGCAUAAAUAUUUUAUAAUUUUCUCAAACUUAAGUAAUAAUUUGUUAUAAACUCUAAAGAUAUAUAUUUCAUUACAAUAGUUAUAAGGCAGACAGGUCUUUUUAUCAAUGGAAUAAGAAAUUUAUGCCAGAUUUAUCCUUUGUACUACAUGCCAAGUAGUAUUAGCAAAGGAAUAACAAAGUACUACAAAGUAAUUAACAAAAUAGCCUUCAAGGAGUGUAAUUUAUGGGCAAAUGAGCAUUAUCUAUUCAAAGUACCAACUUUUUAUGGGCAUUUUACUCUCAAACAUAUAAUUUAUGAUAAAUUUAUAAAUGUUUGUAAGUAAAAUUCAAAAAGUGUUACACUGAUUUCUUACAAAACGAAAACUGGCAGGUUAUCUUUUCAACAUAAAUUAAAUUUUUUUAAAAAAAGAAAUGGCCCUUAAAGUACCAACUCUUUGUGGGUUUCCUCCAUUACAUGAACAAAUAUUCUGCUCUUUAUGGGCAUUUCACUCCGAAUCAUUUAAUUUAUGUUAAAUACAUAAAUGUUUGUAAGUAAAAUUCAAAAAGUGUUGCACUAAUAUUUUUAUGGAAGGGAAACUGGUAGGUUUUGUAUUUAACAUAAAUUAAAUAUGUGAAAGCAAAAAAAAAAAAGAAAUUACCCAUAAAUCUAUGUCUUGCAAAUGUAUACUAGUAAAAUAGUUUCAAACAAAAUUAAACAUUAAAAUAAACUGUAAUUUAUACAUAUUAAAAUAUUUGUAAUUUAUACACAUUUUGCAACUACUACUUUGUGUUUUCUCUAUAAUGAUUUUUUUAACUAUUGAGAACUUAAGUUUUGUCUUGCAAAUCUAUACUAGUACAAUAGUUUUAAACAAAAUUAAACAUUAAAAUAAAUGUUUCAAAAAGAACAAAAGUACAUUUAUCACUUGCGGUAAUGUAACAAAAUUUUCUCAACCAUUAUCAAUAUUUUCACAAAAGUAUUAAAAACUAGCAAUUGACAAUAUUAAAAACUAGCAAUUUAAUUAGUGACGACUUUUCUUGUCAUUAUAAUCUUGAAUAAAUUAGUGAUAACAUUAUGUCGUCACUAAAUUUUCUUUGAUUUUGACUUAAUAAUAAUGUCUUAUUAGUAGCAUUUGAUUAUUUUUAAUGAAAGUCUGUUAUAACCAUAAAAUUUGACUUUCGUUAUUUUCAAUUAAUGAUGUACUUUAGUGCUGCAAUUAUAAAAAAUUGCAGGGCUAAAAUAUUUGCAAAUUAUAAAAGUAUAUUUUCACUUAUAUGUAAUUAACAAAUUUUGCCACCUAUAUUGAUGAAAAUUUGUGUUUUUGUACUAAAAAAUAAAGAAUAAUACUAUAGCAAUAAAAUCUAUGCUUCAAACCAAAUUAAAAAUAAAAAAAAAGCAUUGUGUUUUUGUAAUCAUUAUGUGUUCUCUAAUGAUUUUUAACUGUUAUAUACUUAUGAGCCUCCUUGUUAAUUUAAUUUUCUUGUAUAUGUAAUAACUUCAUUAGAAUAAAAAUAAUUGAAUAAAUAAAUAAUUCAUUAGUGUAAAUAAACUUGUGACUACUUAACUUAGAAUGAUUAUCAGUUAAUUUGAUAUGAAAAUUUGUGCCCAAGUUUUUUGGAUAUUGUUUGAGUUAUGGGCGAAAUCAUCUCCAGUAGAAUUAUUUUAGUUGUGAAUACCAUUACUUCAUUUUUUUAUUGUGCAAGAUAAAGGUUUUCAGCGGAGUUGGUGGUGGAAACGGGUUUGAGAGAUUGUGAGUUUGGGGACGAAGGUGAAGGUUUUAAUUAGCUAUAGUGGUAGGAGUGGAUCCCCUUUUUCAUCCACCUCUGCCACCGAGAUUAACCCAUCUAACUCCACUUCCUUCAACCACCAAAACGGUGGUCCUGCUCCCCACCGCAUCGCUGCCGGAGCAAAUAACUCCGACUCGAUGCACUCCUGGUGGGAGUCCAUAUCAAAAGCC